CACCGCGGUAAUUCCAGCUCCAAUAGCGUAUAUUAAAGUUGUUGCAGUUAAAAAGCUCGUAGUUGAAUUUCGGGAUCAAUAUGUUGGUCGUGCCUUUGGUACGUACUAGCUUAUUGAUUUCUCCCUUCUGACGAACCAUGAUGUCAUUAAUUUGGUGUCAUGGGGAAUCAGGACUGUUACUUUGAAAAAAUUAGAGUGUUUAAAGCAGGCUUACGCUUGAAUAUAUUAGCAUGGAAUAAUGAAAUAGGACGUUUUGAUUCUAUUUUGUUGGUUUCUAGGAUCGACGUAAUGAUUAAUAGGGAUAGUUGGGGGCAUUAGUAUUCAAUUGUCAGAGGUGAAAUUCUUGGAUUUAUUGAAGACUAACUACUGCGAAAGCAUUUGCCAAGGAUGUUUUCAUUAAUCAAGAACGAAAGUGAGGGGAUCGAAGACGAUCAGAUACCGUCGUAGUCUUAACCAUAAACUAUGCCGACUAGGGAUCGGAUGAUGUUAAUUUUUUAAUGACUCAUUCGGCGCCUUAC
This 518-nucleotide unclassified non-coding RNA is filed under the name uncultured Glomeromycotina. RNAcentral describes it as "SSU rRNA". It matches the Rfam family "Eukaryotic small subunit ribosomal RNA", at positions 571 to 1091 of the family's 1831-position model. The record is from RNAcentral. Lineage: Eukaryota; Fungi; Glomeromycota.